RNAcentral lists this ribosomal RNA (437 nucleotides) under Gemella morbillorum. Its description in RNAcentral is "bacterial SSU rRNA". It matches the Rfam family "Bacterial small subunit ribosomal RNA", at positions 28 to 452 of the family's 1533-position model. The record is from RNAcentral. Lineage: Bacteria; Bacillati; Bacillota; Bacilli; Caryophanales; Gemellaceae.
GACGAACGCUGGCGGCGUGCCUAAUACAUGCAAGUCGAGCGAAGUUUUUCUGGUGCUUGCACUAGAAAAACUUAGCGGCGAACGGGUGAGUAACACGUAAAGAACCUGCCUUAUAGACUGGGACAACUAUUGGAAACGAUAGCUAAUACCGGAUAACAGCAUUAACUGCAUGGUUGAUGUUUGAAAGUUGGUUUUGCUAACACUAUGAGAUGGCUUUGCGGUGCAUUAGCUAGUUGGUGGGGUAAAGGCCUACCAAGGCGACGAUGCAUAGCCGACCUGAGAGGGUGAUCGGCCACACUGGGACUGAGACACGGCCCAGACUCCUACGGGAGGCAGCAGUAGGGAAUCUUCCGCAAUGGGCGAAAGCCUGACGGAGCAACGCCGCGUGAGUGAAGAAGGAUUUCGGUUCGUAAAGCUCUGUUGUUAGGGAAGAAUGA